This 465-nucleotide ribosomal RNA is filed under the name uncultured bacterium. Its description in RNAcentral is "partial 16S ribosomal RNA". It matches the Rfam family "Bacterial small subunit ribosomal RNA", at positions 338 to 795 of the family's 1533-position model. The record is from RNAcentral.
CCUACGAGUGGCAGCAGUGGGGAAUAUUGCACAAUGGGCGCAAGCCUGACGCAGCGACGCCGCGUGAGGGAUGAAGGUCUUCGGAUCGUAAACCUCUGUCAGCAGGGAAGAACGGUCACUGUGUUAAUAAGUAGUGAAUUGACGGUACCUGCAACAGAAGCACCGGCUAACUCCGUGCCAGCAGCCGCGGUAAUACGGAGGGUGCGAGCGUUAAUCGGAAUUACUGGGCGUAAAGCGCCCGCAGGCGGUAGGUCAAGUCAAGGGUGAAAUCCCCGCGCUGAACGUGGGAACUGCCUUUGAAACUGGCAAACUGGAGUGUGUGAGAGGAUAGUGGAAUUCCAGGUGUAGGAGUGAAAUCCGUAGAGAUGUGGAGGAAAAUCAGUGGCGAAGGCGACUAUCUGGCACAUAACUGACGCUGAGGUGCGAAAGCGUGGGUAGCAAACAGGAUUAGAUACCCUGGUAGUC